CAGAUUAUAAUUUAUAAAAAAUAUUAGCUUUGGAAGCUAAAAAUCGGUUACACCGUAAUCUGA
This 63-nucleotide transfer RNA is filed under the name Alitta succinea. RNAcentral's name for it is "tRNA-Pro". Lineage: Eukaryota; Metazoa; Annelida; Polychaeta; Phyllodocida; Nereididae. The record is from RNAcentral.